UUGAUAAAUCGCCGAUCGAUAGAAUUUAACGUUGGACCCAAACAAAUCGGGAUUUAUGAAUGACUAGCUUGGUCUAUUUAUUAAUGUCUUUGCUUUCAUUGAAUCACGAGGGCGAAACCACAAUUGCUCAAUGGAGUCACAAUAUUGGGCCGUAAUUUGUCAUGGAUUAAAAACAUUUAUUCAUGAACAACAUGUUUUAUGCAGAGAUAACGAGACAGACUAUACUUAAUGCAAAUUAAUGACCAGCUGAAGCCCUGCACAUGGAAUUGAUUUCCUAUCUUAUAGAACUUAUCUAAAUCGGAUUACUUCCUGGCGACCAAGAGAAACAAAACGAGGAAUCGGAAGACCUCGUUAAUAUGGAAUGGCUCUGGAAUGGCUAGACGUCGUUAAAGAGGUAGGAGCACGAGCCUGAUAUCGCCUAGCCCAAAACAAAACAUCGUGGACAUAAUUAAAGGAGGGCUACGUUCAGAAGUGGACAACAAUGUGAUAAAAAGAACGAGAAAUAAAAAGCAAUAUACUUUGCACGUAAACGGUUUCGGUCGUGCGUUCCGACUAGAGGUCGAGUUGCAGCUAUCGCAAACGCAACUGCGAUUUUGGGAAAAUGGCUCGUUUUUAAGCGAAUGAGGAUGACAAUUUGGAAGUCCGAAAAUACCCCCAUCAAUGGGAAAAAAUUGUAGUGAACCCCUAUAACCCCUUAAAAGGAACGACGCCAAUUUGGAAUCAUCCUGUAUAUCGAAAGCUGGAACAUCCUACAAUCUCGACCGAGGAGUUGACCGAAGAGUUUCUACGAUGACGGUAUUAAAAGCUCACAAACUACUGGAAAAAAUGUAGCUCUAGGACAUGAGAUUAUGAAGAACAAUAUUAUGCUUUUGUAAAUAUUGUAAAAUAAAGAAAUUUUAACAGU
Long non-coding RNA from Dendroctonus ponderosae (mountain pine beetle), 904 nucleotides. RefSeq lists it as uncharacterized. NCBI's taxonomy places the organism in Eukaryota, Metazoa, Arthropoda, Insecta, Coleoptera, Curculionidae. The transcript is spliced from 2 exons. The record is from RefSeq and is a predicted model, not a curated record.